GACGAACGCUGGCGGCGUGCUUAACACAUGCAAGUCGAACGGAAAGGCCCUGCUUUUGUGGGGUGCUCGAGUGGCGAACGGGUGAGUAACACGUGAGUAACCUGCCCUUGACUUUGGGAUAACUUCAGGAAACUGGGGCUAAUACCGGAUAGGAGCUCCUGCUGCAGGGUGGGGGUUGGAAAGUUUCGGCGGUUGGGGAUGGACUCGCGGCUUAUCAGCUUGUUGGUGGGGUAGUGGCUUACCAAGGCUUUGACGGGUAGCCGGCCUGAGAGGGUGACCGGCCACAUUGGGACUGAGAUACGGCCCAGACUCCUACGGGAGGCAGCAGUGGGGAAUAUUGCACAAUGGGCGGAAGCCUGAUGCAGCAACGCCGCGUGCGGGAUGACGGCCUUCGGGUUGUAAACCGCUUUCGCCUGUGACGAAGCGUGAGUGACGGUAAUGGGUAAAGAAGCACCGGCUAACUACGUG
Molecule: ribosomal RNA, 468 nt
Filed under: uncultured bacterium
Lineage: Bacteria
Description: partial 16S ribosomal RNA
Rfam family: Bacterial small subunit ribosomal RNA
Source: RNAcentral